UACAGAGGGUGCGAGCGUUAAUCGGAAUUACUGGGCGUAAAGCGUGCGUAGACGGUUAUUUAAGUCGGAUGUGAAAGCCCCGGGCUUAACUUGGGAAUUGCGCUCGAAACUAUGGUGCUGGAGUGUGGCAGAGGAAGGUGGAAUUCCACGUGUAGCGGUGAAAUGCGUAGAGAUGUGGAGGAACACCGAUGGCGAAGGCAGCCUUCUGGGCCAACACUGACGCUCAUGCACGAAAGCGUGGGGAGCAAACAGG
RNAcentral lists this ribosomal RNA (253 nucleotides) under uncultured bacterium. RNAcentral's name for it is "partial 16S ribosomal RNA". It matches the Rfam family "Bacterial small subunit ribosomal RNA", at positions 524 to 776 of the family's 1533-position model. The record is from RNAcentral.